RNAcentral lists this ribosomal RNA (466 nucleotides) under uncultured bacterium. RNAcentral's name for it is "partial 16S ribosomal RNA". It matches the Rfam family "Bacterial small subunit ribosomal RNA", at positions 28 to 507 of the family's 1533-position model. The record is from RNAcentral.
GACGAACGCUGGCGGCGUGCUUAACACAUGCAAGUCGAACGGAAAGGCCCUGCUUGCAGGGUACUCGAGUGGCGAACGGGUGAGUAACACGGGGGUGAUCUGCCCUGCACUUCUGGAUAAGCUUGGGAAACUGGGUCUAAUACCGGAUAGGAGCCAUCUUUAGUGUGGUGGUUGGGAAGUUUUUUCGGUGUAGGAUGAGCUCGCGGCCUAUCAGCUUGUUGGUGGGGUAAUGGCCUACCAAGGCGGCGACGGGUAGCCGGCCUGAGAGGGUGUACGGACACACUGGGACUGAGCUACGGCCCAGACUCCUACGGGAGGCAGCAGUGGGGAAUAUUGCACAAUGGGCGCACGCCUGAUGCAGCGACGCCGCGUGGGGGAUGAAGGCCUUUGGGUUGUAAACUCCUUUCGCUAGGGACGACGCUUUGUUGUGACGGUACCUAGAUAAGAAGCACCGGCUAACUACGUG